This 630-nucleotide ribosomal RNA is filed under the name Tranzschelia discolor. Its description in RNAcentral is "partial large subunit ribosomal RNA". It matches the Rfam family "Eukaryotic large subunit ribosomal RNA", at positions 114 to 716 of the family's 3401-position model. The record is from RNAcentral. Lineage: Eukaryota; Fungi; Basidiomycota; Pucciniomycetes; Pucciniales; Raveneliaceae.
UUUGUAAUCUGGCUCUUUAAGAGUCUGAGUUGUAAUUUUAAGAACUGUUUUCAGUGCUGGACCAUGUACAAGUCUGUUGAAACACAGCAUCAUUGAGGGUGAUAAUCCCGUUCAUGAUAUGGACUCCCAGUGCAAUAUGAUACAGUCUCCAAGAGUCGAGUUGUUUGGGAAUGCAGCUCAAAAUGGGUGGUAAAUUCCAUCUAAGGCUAAAUAUUGGUGAGAGACCGAUAGCAAACAAGUACCGUGAGGGAAAGAUGAAAAGAACUUUGGAAAGAGAGUUAACAGUACGUGAAAUUGUUAAAAGGGAAACAAUUGAAGUUAGUCUUGUUAUUACUGGUUCAGCUCUUUUAGAGUGUAUUCCAGUGGUUAACAGAUCAACAUCAAUUCUUGGGUGCUAGAUAAGGGUUUUGUGAAAUGUAGCAGCUUCUAGCUGUGUUAUAGUCUGAGACUUUGAUAUAGUGCCUAGGAUUGAGGAAUGCAGUGAGCCUUUUUUUUUAAAAAAGGUGAACCAAUUUUAAUUGGUUUUCUCACUGAGGAUGUUGAUACAAUAGCUUUAAAUGACCCGUCUUGAAACACGGACCAAGGAGUCUAACAUGCUUGCGAGUAUUUGGGUGUUGAAACCCUUAUGCG